AGUUGAUCCUGGCUAGGACGAACGCUGGCGGCGUGCCUAAUACAUGCAAGUCGAACGGUCUUUCUAUGGAAGCUUGCUUCCACUGAGAAGAUAGUGGCGAACGGGUGAGUAACACGUGGGUAACCUGCCCAUAAGAGGGGGGAUAACAUCCGGAAACGGGUGCUAAUACCGCAUAGUUUUCUUGAUCGCAUGAUCGGGAAAGGAAAGACGGCCUUUGUGCUGUCGCUUAUGGAUGGACCCGCGGCGUAUUAGUUAGUUGGUGAGGUAACGGCUCACCAAGACGAUGAUACGUAGCCGACCUGAGAGGGUGAUCGGCCACGUUGGGACUGAGACACGGCCCAAACUCCUACGGGAGGCAGCAGUAGGGAAUCUUCCGCAAUGGACGAAAGUCUGACGGAGCAACGCCGCGUGAGUGAAAGAAGGUUUUCGGAUCGUAAAACUCUGUUGUCAGAGAAGAACAAGUUGGAGAGUAACUGCUCCAGCCUUGACGGUAUCUGACCAGAAAGCCACGGCUAACUACGUGCCAGCCGCGGC
This 534-nucleotide ribosomal RNA is filed under the name uncultured bacterium. RNAcentral describes it as "bacterial SSU rRNA". It matches the Rfam family "Bacterial small subunit ribosomal RNA", at positions 10 to 518 of the family's 1533-position model. The record is from RNAcentral.